Molecule: ribosomal RNA, 253 nt
Filed under: uncultured bacterium
Lineage: Bacteria
Description: partial 16S ribosomal RNA
Rfam family: Bacterial small subunit ribosomal RNA
Source: RNAcentral
UACAGAGGUCCCAAGCGUUGUUCGGAAUUACUGGGCGUAAAGCGUGCGCAGGCGGUUUGCUAAGACAGGUGUGAAAUCCCCGGGCUUAACCUGGGAACUGCGCUUGUAACUGGCAAGCUAGAGUGUGGCAGAGGGGGGUGGAAUUCCACGUGUAGCAGUGAAAUGCGUAGAGAUGUGGAGGAACACCGAUGGCGAAGGCAGCCCCCUGGGCUAACACUGACGCUCAUGCACGAAAGCGUGGGGAGCAAACAGG